Molecule: ribosomal RNA, 773 nt
Filed under: uncultured Neocallimastigales
Lineage: Eukaryota; Fungi; Neocallimastigomycota; Neocallimastigomycetes; Neocallimastigales
Description: partial large subunit ribosomal RNA
Rfam family: Eukaryotic large subunit ribosomal RNA (bases 6-692)
Source: RNAcentral
AUCACUACGCUAGAUGCAUAUCAAUAAGCGGAGGAAAAGAAACUAACUAGGAUUCCCUUAGUAACGGCGAGUGAAGCGGGAAGAGCUCAAAUUUGAAAUCUUCAAGGUUCUAUCUUGACGAAUUGUAGUUUAAAGAAGUGUUUUCUGUUGAAGUUUUGGUAAAAGUUCUUUGGAAUAGGACAUCAUAGAGGGUGAGAAUCCCGUAUUUGACCAUUUCUUCCAGCUGUGUGAUACACUUUCAAAGAGUCGGAUUGUUUGGGAAUGCAGUCCAAAAUGGGUGGUAAAUUUCAUCUAAAGCUAAAUAUUGGCGAGAGACCGAUAGCGAACAAGUACCGUGAGGGAAAGAUGAAAAGAACUUUGAAAAGAGAGUUAAACAGUACGUGAAAUUGUCAAAAGGGAAGCGUUUGACACCAGUGUUGUUUUCUCGAAAAUCAAUUAAAAAUGAUGGGAUUUUGUGUUGUAUUGACUUUAUCAGCUUUCUGCACUUUUUUCUUAUCUUUUUUAAUGCACUUUUCGUUUAACAAGUCAACAUCAAUUUCUUUUGUUGUAAAAGAGUCAUUGGAAGGUGGCUUUUUCUUCGGAAAAAGUGUUUAUAGCCUUUGGCUUCUGCAAUCGGAGAGAUUGAGGUCUGCAGCGUAGAUCCUUCGGGGUUAGAUACAUUUGUGCUAAGCUAUAGUUCUUUAUAGACAACUUGUUGACUAUAAUCAAUCCUGUAACUUACUCGCUUAUGCUAUUUUACCUACGCUUAGGAUGUUGACACACGCGCGUGCUCG